GAUGAAGAACGCAGCGAAAUGCGAUACGUAAUGUGAAUUGCAAAUUCAGUGAAUCAUCGAAUCUUUGAACGCACAUUGCGCCCUUUGGUAUUCCUUAGGGCAUGCCUGUUCGAGCGUCAUUUGAAACCUCAAGCUCAGCUUGGUGUUGGGUGUCUGUCCCCGCCUCACCGCGGGGACUCGCCUCAAAAUCAUUGGCGGCCGGUACGUUGGCUUCGAGCGCAGCAGAAACGCGAACUCGAGGCCCGGCGGAUCGGCGACCAGAAGUCACUUCUUCACAGUUUGACCUCGGAUCAGGUAGGGAUACCCGCUGAACUUAAGCAUAUCAAUAAGCGGAGGA
This 337-nucleotide unclassified non-coding RNA is filed under the name soil metagenome. Its description in RNAcentral is "partial contains 5.8S ribosomal RNA, internal transcribed spacer 2, and large subunit ribosomal RNA". The stretch from base 1 to 119 matches the Rfam family "5.8S ribosomal RNA", at positions 35 to 154 of the family's 154-position model. The record is from RNAcentral.